Molecule: long non-coding RNA, 1858 nt
Organism: Hordeum vulgare subsp. vulgare (domesticated barley)
Lineage: Eukaryota; Viridiplantae; Streptophyta; Magnoliopsida; Poales; Poaceae
Exons: 2
Source: RefSeq, a predicted model, not a curated record
CCUCCGCACUGCAAAACAAGGUGAGAACAAAAAUCCCGAAGAAAAAACCGACCCUCAGAGGCUCGGACGCACGUCGCACGUCCCACCAAAUCCCACCCCACGCCCCAUCCCGAAAUCCCAACCAUCUCCAUGUGGAUCUAGAUUCCGUUCGCAAAGAAAUCGCAACAGCCAGCCUCGUCCUUCCUCGAUCGACUCGGCCAAUCCGAUGAGUACCGAUGGCUCCUUCUCUCCUCUCACCCACGACCCUCUCACUUCCUCGCCGCCAACCUCUGCUCCGUUUGCACCAGCCACCCCUUGCUCAGAGACGACUUCAGCUACAGAUAGGGAAGUCGACAACCUCACCGAGGCCCAUGGCGCCGCUACACUUGCCGGAGCCAUGAGCAGGUACCAUGGCGGCCGACCCGCAUGAAGCCCUUACAGCAUCUCGGCGGUGGCUGCGUCGAGGGCGCGGUCGCUGAGCAGACCAACUAACCAAGUACAAGGACAAGGGGAGGGCCAACAACCCGUACAUCAGGAUUUGAUCUCAAAGAUGAGAGUGACAUAGAUGUUGGUACUGCAGCUCCAACAUCUCAAGUUUCAAUCAAGCAUGGUCAUGCCGAUAUGGAGAGCACAAGACCUGAACUAUUAUUUCCAUCUCAUUUUCCAAUAAGGAUGAUCAGGUCUGGUCGUCGUCGUCGAUCUACAGACAUGGUUCAACAACUUCCUCUUCGCUAAGUUAUCUCGGUCAAUGUAUGUUUCAAUAUUGGGUCGUCGAUCCGACAACUAUGUUCAUUUGUUGGAUCAUUUUAGUAGUUAAUCUGAAGUCAGGAUUGAAGUUUCAGUAUAUAGAUACUCUUUACAUUAAGUUAAGACUAAUAUUCUUAAGUCAGGGUUAUUUAAUAAACGUUUGGUAGUUAUAAGGAUUAAAGUAUACUGGUAAAAAAUACGUUAAGUUGAGAAGAAACACCUGAGACCUCUACCAUUGGAUUUAACUUUGUCUUAAUGUCCAACUUGGCAACAUGUUUAAUCCCUCUAUUACUCCUACUACAACAUGUUGUCCUUUGACAUCGGGUUCUGUAAUUCUGUUACGUGGGGAUUUGGAUCCUGCUGUUCGAAUGUUUGGAGUACAUUAGUACAGUACAUAUGAAUUCGCAACCAAAGUUCAGAAAAAGGAGUCCCAGUACUUCCAUGUUCCAUCCUAAUGUUGUCACACGCAUAGUAGUUGUCACUUCAAUACUUAAUUUGAUGCCAGGAUUCAAGUUUUAGUAUAUACCUAAAGAUAAAAAGUCUUGGUUCAUUUAUUUUUGAUUAAAACUACAUUACCGUUGAAAACAAACUGCUGAGACGUAUGAUUACGCAAAGGAUAAUAGUUGUGUUUUGGGCCAUGGUGAUGAUAUUGUUUGAUUGCAAAAAUGUACUGGUCAGAUAUCAAUUUCAGGCUUACCACAAUACUCCUUAUCUUAAUCACUGAUUAAAUUUCUGAAAUUGGGCUCGCCGUGCUACAUAUUUUUUCAUACAGGUUUUAGGGCUAAGAGAAAUUUGGAGUUCCGGUCCUGUGUUGGUACUUGGUACCUUUCUCAAACCCUCACUGUAUUUGACUCAUCCAUUCCUAACCCCCACCUAUUAUCUUGCUACUUACCAUCAGGUUAUUACACUCUACUUGAUUUGCUAUUUUUUUGUUAUACCUUCUGUAAUUAUGAUCGUAGAUGAAUCUAGGUUUGUAUUAUUUUCCAUCCUAAGAUACAUGUUCUAUCGGUUGUUCUUCUAGAUUGUUAGUAAAUUGUGAUAUAUGACUUCCUAUGUCACAACAAUGAAACAUAGAUGUAUAUGGUACAUGAAUGGAGGGAUACUAAUGAAUAAUGUAUAUCUUAGUUGGCUA